This 349-nucleotide unclassified non-coding RNA is filed under the name soil metagenome. RNAcentral's name for it is "partial contains 5.8S ribosomal RNA, internal transcribed spacer 2, and large subunit ribosomal RNA". The stretch from base 1 to 120 matches the Rfam family "5.8S ribosomal RNA", at positions 35 to 154 of the family's 154-position model. The record is from RNAcentral.
GAUGAAGAACGCAGCGAACUGCGAUAAGUAAUGUGAAUUGCAGAAUUCAGUGAAUCAUCGAGUCUUUGAACGCACAUUGCGCCCCCUGGCAUUCCGGGGGGCAUGCCUGUCCGAGCGUCAUUGCUGCCCUUCAAGCCCGGCUUGUGUGUUGGGUCGUCGUCCCCCCCGGGGGACGGGCCCGAAAGGCAGCGGCGGCACCGCGUCCGGUCCUCGAGCGUAUGGGGCUUUGUCACCCGCUCGAUUAGGGCCGGCCGGGCGCCAGCCGGCGUCUCCAACCUUUUAUUUUACCAGGUUGACCUCGGAUCAGGUAGGGAUACCCGCUGAACUUAAGCAUAUCAAUAAGCGAGGA